UACGUAGGGUGCAAGCGUUAUCCGGAAUUAUUGGGCGUAAAGAGCUCGUAGGCGGUUUGUUACGUCGGAUGUGAAAACCCGAGGCUUAACCUCGGGCCUACAUUCGAUACGGGCAGACUCGAGUGUGGUAGGGGAGACUGGAACUCCUGGUGUAGCGGUGAAAUGCGCAGAUAUCAGGAAGAACACCGGUGGCGAAGGCGGGUCUCUGGGCCACUACUGACGCUGAGGAGCGAAAGCGUGGGGAGCGAACAGG
RNAcentral lists this ribosomal RNA (253 nucleotides) under uncultured bacterium. RNAcentral describes it as "partial 16S ribosomal RNA". It matches the Rfam family "Bacterial small subunit ribosomal RNA", at positions 524 to 776 of the family's 1533-position model. The record is from RNAcentral.